This 66-nucleotide transfer RNA is filed under the name Tessaromerus quadriarticulatus. RNAcentral's name for it is "tRNA-Leu". The record is from RNAcentral. Lineage: Eukaryota; Metazoa; Arthropoda; Insecta; Hemiptera; Urostylididae.
UCUAAUAUGGCAGAAAUAAAGUGCAAUGAAUUUAAGAUUCAUAAAUGAAGAAAUCUUCUAUUAGAU